AGUGAACGCUGGCGGUAGGCCUAACACAUGCAAGUCGAACGGCAGCACAGAGGAGCUUGCUCCUUGGGUGGCGAGUGGCGGACGGGUGAGGAAUACAUCGGAAUCUACUCUGUCGUGGGGGAUAACGUAGGGAAACUUACGCUAAUACCGCAUACGACCUACCGGUGAAAGCAGGGGGCCUUCGGGCCUUGCGCGAUUGAAUGAGCCGAUGUCAGAUUAGCUAGUUGGCGGGGUAAAGGCCCACCAAGGCGACGAUCCGUAGCUGGUCUGAGAGGAUGAUCAGCCACACUGGAACUGAGACACGGUCCAGACUCCUACGGGAGGCAGCAGUGGGGAAUAUUGGACAAUGGGCGCAAGCCUGAUCCAGCCAUACCGCGUGGGUGAAGAAGGCCUUCGGGUUGUAAAGCCCUUUUGUUGGGAAAGAAAUCCAGCUGGCUAAUACCCGGUUGGGAUGACGGUACCCAAAGAAUAAGCACCGGCUAACUUCGUGCCAGCCGCCGCAGUAA
This 506-nucleotide ribosomal RNA is filed under the name uncultured bacterium. RNAcentral's name for it is "partial 16S ribosomal RNA". It matches the Rfam family "Bacterial small subunit ribosomal RNA", at positions 29 to 523 of the family's 1533-position model. The record is from RNAcentral.